ACUUGAAUAGCUUAUAUAGAGUAUAACAUUGAAGAUGUUAUGGAAAUUUAUUUAAUUUUUAAGUA
RNAcentral lists this transfer RNA (65 nucleotides) under Ellipsidion sp. BLA050. Its description in RNAcentral is "tRNA-Phe". The record is from RNAcentral. Lineage: Eukaryota; Metazoa; Arthropoda; Insecta; Blattodea; Pseudophyllodromiidae.